AGCGAACGCUGGCGGCAGGCUUAACACAUGCAAGUCGAACGGCAGCACGGGUGCUUGCACCUGGUGGCGAGUGGCGAACGGGUGAGUAAUACAUCGGAACGUACCUUAUCGUGGGGGAUAACGCAGCGAAAGUUGCGCUAAUACCGCAUACGCCCUGAGGGGGAAAGCGGGGGACCGUAAGGCCUCGCGCGAUUAGAGCGGCCGAUGUCUGAUUAGCUUGUUGGUGAGGUAAAAGCUCACCAAGGCGAUGAUCAGUAGCUGGUCUGAGAGGACGAUCAGCCACACUGGGACUGAGACACGGCCCAGACUCCUACGGGAGGCAGCAGUGGGGAAUUUUGGACAAUGGGGGCAACCCUGAUCCAGCAAUGCCGCGUGAGUGAAGAAGGCCUUCGGGUUGUAAAGCUCUUUUGUCAGGGAAGAAACAGCAGCUCUAACACAGUCUGCGAAUGACGGUACCUGAAGAAUAAGCACCGGCUAACUACGUGCCAGCAGCCGCCGUAA
This 501-nucleotide ribosomal RNA is filed under the name uncultured bacterium. RNAcentral describes it as "partial 16S ribosomal RNA". It matches the Rfam family "Bacterial small subunit ribosomal RNA", at positions 29 to 523 of the family's 1533-position model. The record is from RNAcentral.